UAGGUGGUGCACCCAUUGCAGC
RNAcentral lists this non-coding RNA (22 nucleotides) under Arabidopsis thaliana (thale cress). The record is from RNAcentral. Lineage: Eukaryota; Viridiplantae; Streptophyta; Magnoliopsida; Brassicales; Brassicaceae.